RNAcentral lists this ribosomal RNA (374 nucleotides) under uncultured organism. RNAcentral describes it as "partial 16S ribosomal RNA". It matches the Rfam family "Bacterial small subunit ribosomal RNA", at positions 527 to 896 of the family's 1533-position model. The record is from RNAcentral.
GUAGGUGGCAAGCGUUGUCCGGAAUUAUUGGGCGUAAAGCGCGCGCAGGCGGUUCUUUAAGUCUGAUGUGAAAGCCCACGGCUCAACCGUGGAGGGUCAUUGGAAACUGGAGAACUUGAGUACAGAAAAGGAAAGCGGAAUUCCACGUGUAGCGGUGAAAUGCGUAGAGAUGUGGAGGAACACCAGUGGCGAAGGCGGCUUUCUGGUCUGUAACUGACGCUGAGGCGCGAAAGCGUGGGGAGCAAACAGGGAUUAGAUACCCUGGUAGUCCACGCCGUAAACGAUGAGUGCUAAGUGUUAGGGGGGUUUCCGCCCCCUUAGUGCUGCAGCUAACGCAUUAAGCACUCCGCCUGGGGAGUACGGCCGCAAGGCUG